This is a non-coding RNA of Heterocephalus glaber (naked mole-rat), 213 nucleotides long. The record is from RefSeq and is a predicted model, not a curated record. NCBI's taxonomy places the organism in Eukaryota, Metazoa, Chordata, Mammalia, Rodentia, Bathyergidae.
GUUUGCAGCCAACCGUUAAGGCUGCCAUAGCGGUUCCAGAGUCCGUUACCAACAUCAAAGUCUCAUUUUAUCACAUCAUGAUUGAAUUGCAAGCAUCGGUGGACUGGAUGCAAGAGCCUGGGAAAAAUCAUCAAAAGCAUUAGUGUCUUCAAGAGUUCUACCUGACCCCUGCCAGCACAGAGGAGGUGAGCCGCUCCCAGCUCACAAGAGGAG